UGCCGCAGUCUGGCUGGGCACAAUCAGGAGCCACUUGUCAAAAGAAACUAACUUUAUUUUUAGAACCACACACGACAAACAAAAUAGUCUCUCAGGAAAAACCCUCAGAGCCUCAACUGCCACCACCAGCUUUCCCCAAGCCUCUCUCUCCCACACAAGCUUCUCUCCACCUCCCACAAUCCUCCUGCUCUUGAGGCCGAUUGGCUGGGUCACAUGGGCGGAGCCAAAAAAGUCCCCCAAUGAGCAGCUCCGUGGUCUGAAAGGGCAGGGAAACAGUCCAAUGAGCAUCACCGCAGAGGAGCCAAUCAGCUAGAUGUUGCUGGGGCCGCUGUGAGCCAAUCAUCAGCCAGCAGCUGGAAGUUUGCUGGCAGCUGGAAGUUUGCUGGGGCCCCUUUGGCUGUGGCUCUCAAC
This 411-nucleotide long non-coding RNA is filed under the name Marmota monax (woodchuck). The record is from RNAcentral. Lineage: Eukaryota; Metazoa; Chordata; Mammalia; Rodentia; Sciuridae.